Mercenaria mercenaria is the source of this 2092-nucleotide long non-coding RNA. RefSeq lists it as uncharacterized. The record is from RefSeq and is a predicted model, not a curated record. Lineage: Eukaryota; Metazoa; Mollusca; Bivalvia; Venerida; Veneridae. The transcript is spliced from 3 exons.
UUAUAUUUUGGCAUUUUGUUUCCCUUAUUAAAGCAAAUAUUCAUGCCGAGAAAUAAAAUGUUUAUCUUCGUCAUGAAAGUGUAAAAAAUGCUGUAAUCCGUAACCCCCAGUGUAGGAACUGGACCAAUUAAGUUAUUUAAAUAUUCAAAACCACUUGCAGCAAGUUGCUAUAGAUGUUUUCAGAGGGACAGACGUACAAAGCCACACGAUACAUGUACCAAUAUAAACCAAUCUAAUCACAAACGUUAAAGCACGGCAUUGGGUACGAAGUGGUCUGUGUACGCGUGGUAGCCCAGAACUUACUUGCAAUUAUCAACGAAGGAUGCCAUUUUCCCUGGAAUUUGGUAUGUAUGCAAUCGCCAGGCAUGUCAUUCUCUAAUCAACGCAGAUGUGCUUAAAAUCGGCCACCGCUUCUCACCAAUCCAAUAAACUUAACAUUUUUCGGGUAAAUUCUGUUCAGUAGCCAUUUUUCAAACAAAUUCCGCCAAGAAACAUGCGCGGUCGAUUUCGGUAGUUUCCGGUAUUUUCCCGGAAAUCUCCGAUUCCAUUAUUGCUGGUUUGUAUCAUUUAAUUAUUUUGUUUUUCUUUAAUUAAUGCUAUUUUGGCAAAAACAAGAUUAACGUGCAUCUAAAAUAAUAACAUGAUGGGAAAAUUAUGAUAUUACAAAGUUCUAUAAAUAAAAAAUGUGCGGUGGCGCUAAUUAGCACGUGAUGCAAACAAACCGUUCAACAACAACAACAACAACAACACGAGGAAACAUGCGUGAAAAGGCAAACAAACAAUAUUUGUAAACACGAGAACAACUGCUGGCGGUACACAUUAUAAGAAGAUCACUUUAUUGGACGAGAAGUUGUUUCAGACGUUGCAUCUUGAAGACAGCGAUCACUUCAUGAUCAUUCUCACAGGAAAGUGAAGAGAAAAUGGCCAACAGGGAGUGUAUAUUGGGAAAAUUGAAACCUUUCAAAGCAACUGAUGAGUACUACAAUCUUCUGCCAGAGGACGAAGCAGCAACCCCCAAGUCAUUCACAAGAUUACAAAAGGGCUAUGAAUUGUUUUUUUUUUCUUUUUUUGGCAAGCACAAUUCUGCUGCCAAAACCAAGAAUGCCUUCACAAUUAGCUUCGAAUAUGAUAAUGGAGAACAGUGAAAGUUUUUGUUAGUAAGAAAAUCAGUCUUGGAGAGGAAGGAAAGAGAUCCGUGAUAACAGAUGAUACCUUAAAGCACUAUCUAGAUAAACAUAUGUGCAAGUAAUCUCGCAUCAACAAAUGUGUGUUGUAGCAGUGAGAAAGCUCUUUUUCUAAAGUGUGUUUUUGGAUAUCAGACCAACCAUGACAUUUAUAAACAGUCCUCCAGAGUUGGUUGAACACAGUACAUGUACAUUAGUCCGGAGGAUUUAAUCAUAACUGCCACCAACAAAGUUGAAGUGGUUUUUACUGGUUUGAAAUGUGAGGUGUAAUCAUACAGUAAACAAAUAAUAUAGUAUUAACAUCAUUAUAGCAUUCAAGGUUUUUAUUCAUUUGUUUAGCUUAUCUGAGCCAAAGGCUCGGGAUGAGCUGUUAGUAUGGGUUGGUUGUCCAGCAUUAAACGUCCUGUGUCCAUCCUCAAGAUUGCAUAUAAAUUGCUUCUCUAAAACUACAUAUCAGAUGUUUACCAAAUUUGGUCUGUAACACCCCUCCUUUGACCACCAUUCAAAUUACAGGAAAUGGUUACUUUGUGACCUUGACCAUUGAUCUUAAGAUAUAAAUUAUAUUCAUACUGAAUGUUUUAGUACAUUGUAAAAUGAGUAUUGAUUUAAUUGAUACAAGAAUUGUAUGAAUCUAGUUAAAAACAUCAAAUUUUGAUAUCCAUUAUUUAAUAGAAGUGUAAAUGGAAUUAUGAGUGGCACUUAUGUCUCUGUGACAAAUCCUCAAAAAAUUCACACACAUUUUCUGUGUCAAACAGACAUGUAUUAUAUAAAAAAAUACAGUCAAGCAAAUUGUUUAACUUUAUUCGCUAUAUAAUAAUCUGUGCCAAUUUACUUGUGAUUUACUAUUUCCAUGCCAAUAAAUUAUGCACUAUAUACACAGUUAUUAAAAUUGAAGUUUUAUGAGGAAA